CCAGAAUAUUCUGUAAUCUUGGAUCUACGAUUGUAGUUUAACUUCCAACUGUUCACUCACACAUAUCACAGGAGGCUUCAAAUGAUGUUCCUGUGGGGUUGGCUGCUGCUGCUGCUCGUUUGGCAGGAAGUCACAGUUCUUUAUGUAGCGUGGCAGGAGGGUGCUUUUUAAGCUUGUUAUAAGUUGGCAGUAUGCAAUAAUAAAUUCACCAGUACUGCAGAACAUCUUUGAAGGGUCGCCCUUAGAUGCAUGCUUCUAAGUUAUAUAGACAGCAGGUCAGCAGGGGUGGGUUUGUCUUACGUAAACCCAGCAGAUUUGGCACGUCACACUGGUUAGCACAUGGAAAGUAAAGCUGGAAACUCUCUCUUUCUUUCUGUAAAUGCAAACUAUCACUCAGACCUUUGGACACACCUACUGAUUUUUUAUUAUGACUAUUUUCCACAGUUUAGAAUAAUAGUAAAGUCAUCAAAACUAUGAACAAACACAAAUGGAAUUAUGGGAAUGUUGUGACCAGAAAUGAUAAGAUAGAUAGAUAGAUAGAUAGAUAGAUAGAUAGAUAGAUAGAUGGAUGAAUAGAUAGAUAGAUGGAUGAGUGGACAAACGAACAGAUAGAUAGAUAGAUAGAUAGAUAGAUAGAUAGAUAGAUAGAUAGAUAGAUAGAUGAGUGGACGAAUGAACAGAUAGAUAGAUAGAUAGAUAGAUAGAUAGAUAGAUAGAUAGAUAGAUAGAUAGAUAGAUAGAUAGAUAGAUAGAUAGAUAGAUAGAUAGAUAGAUAGAUAGAUAGAUAGAUAGAUAGGAGCUGGAGACUAGCCAUGUUUACAGUUUUCACAGAUGGGUUCAGACAGUGUCAGGUUGAGUGAGAUAAAUGACUCAGUUCCUCUGCUGCUCCACACGGGAAAGCAGCAGCAAUGUAGAAAUGCUCAAAGUAUGUCACUUCCCACCCAGCCGCUGGAGAAAGCUAUUUUAUCAUAGUUAUCCCUUCAAGAUCCAAACGUUUUCUACAUCUGGAGUAAAACGUUUUCUGAAAGCGUUCACACAGACGUUUUCCCUGUUAACGUCCACCCUUGUGCGCGUGAUCUUUCAGGUAGGAAACACUGCCG
Cyprinus carpio carpio is the source of this 1100-nucleotide long non-coding RNA. Lineage: Eukaryota; Metazoa; Chordata; Actinopteri; Cypriniformes; Cyprinidae. The record is from Ensembl.